RNAcentral lists this ribosomal RNA (253 nucleotides) under uncultured bacterium. Its description in RNAcentral is "partial 16S ribosomal RNA". It matches the Rfam family "Bacterial small subunit ribosomal RNA", at positions 524 to 776 of the family's 1533-position model. The record is from RNAcentral.
CACGUAGGCACCAAGCGUUGUCCGGAAUUACUGGGCGUAAAGGGCUCGUAGGCGGCCAACUAAGUCAGACGUGAAAUCCCCAGGCUCAACCUGGGAACUGCGUCUGAUACUGGAUGGCUUGAAUCCGGGAGAGGGAUGCAGAAUUCCAGGUGUAGCGGUGAAAUGCGUAGAUAUCUGGAGGAAUACCGGUGGCGAAGGCGGCAUCCUGGACCGGCAUUGACGCUGAGGAGCGAAAGCCAGGGGAGCAAACGGG